This 492-nucleotide ribosomal RNA is filed under the name uncultured bacterium. RNAcentral's name for it is "partial 16S ribosomal RNA". It matches the Rfam family "Bacterial small subunit ribosomal RNA", at positions 29 to 507 of the family's 1533-position model. The record is from RNAcentral.
AGUGAACGCUGGCGGUAGGCCUAACACAUGCAAGUCGAACGGCAGCACAGUAAGAGCUUGCUCUUACGGGUGGCGAGUGGCGGACGGGUGAGGAAUACAUCGGAAUCUACUUUUUCGUGGGGGAUAACGUAGGGAAACUUACGCUAAUACCGCAUACGACCUACGGGUGAAAGCAGGGGAUCUUCGGACCUUGCGCGAUUGAAUGAGCCGAUGUCGGAUUAGCUAGUUGGCGGGGUAAAGGCCCACCAAGGCGACGAUCCGUAGCUGGUCUGAGAGGAUGAUCAGCCACCCUGGAACGGAGACACGGUCCAGACUCCUACGGGAGGCAGCAGUGGGGAAUAUUGGACAAUGGGCGCAAGCCUGAUCCAGCCAUACCGCGUGGGUGAAGAAGGCCUUCGGGUUGUAAAGCCCUUUUGUUGGGAAAGAAAAGCAGCAGGUUAAUACCCCGCUGUUCUGACGGUACCCAAAGAAUAAGCACCGGCUAACGUCGUG